GCGCCAAUCUUCUAGUGGUUAGGAUCCAACCUUCCCAUUCUCAUAGGAUUAGGUUGGGACGCGAGUUCGAGUCUCGCUUGGCGCA
Aspergillus aculeatus ATCC 16872 is the source of this 85-nucleotide non-coding RNA. The record is from Rfam. NCBI's taxonomy places the organism in Eukaryota, Fungi, Ascomycota, Eurotiomycetes, Eurotiales, Aspergillaceae.